This 607-nucleotide long non-coding RNA is filed under the name Manduca sexta (tobacco hornworm). RNAcentral's name for it is "uncharacterized LOC119192656, transcript variant X3". The record is from RNAcentral. Lineage: Eukaryota; Metazoa; Arthropoda; Insecta; Lepidoptera; Sphingidae.
AAAAACUUUCUGUCAAUAUAUUUGUGUUGAUGAUACCAAGGUUUCGUUGGUAAUUCUUUCUGUAUUUUGCUGUACCAUUUUCCUUUGGUCUGCAGGGUAUUGUCCCAUGUACAAGUGAAGGAGCAGUGACUACAUUAGAUGAGACUGGUUCUAUGUCCAGAGGACUCAAUUCGAGUUGUUUGUGAAGAAUGCUAUUGUUUAAGGAUACUAUUUUCAAAUAAAAUCUUUGGGCCAACUGUAAUCUACGCAAAACCAGAGGAGGAGAGACACAGUAUGAUGAUGGUUGCACAUUUAUCUCAAGAAAAGUUGGAAGGUGGUAACUACCCAUUGGGUCAUCAUGAACAUACCAAUUGCAAAGAUGAGCAAUAGAAGAACUAGUAAGAGCCAAAUCUAAUGCAGCAGCCUGUCUACCAGGAUAAGGGACCGUUGUUGUAGAUCCAUCAUUUAAAAUGCAUAAAUCACAAUCAUCUAUAAGGUUAAACAAGCAUUUACCCCUAUUGUUGUCAUAAUUAGAUCCAAAAGCCAUGUGAUGAGCAUUAAAAUCACCCAUUAUAACACAAGGCCUUGGUAAGGAAUUUAUAAGUCUCUUCAAUUUUAAAUCAUCAAA